AAACGAAACUGAAAUCAGUGUGUACAUGUUGCCUGCUCUGCUGAAAAUGAAACUGUUCUCUCCUGCCUUAUGUUGAAACUGCUACUACAUUGAAGAAGAACUUUGAUAUUGGCACUACUAAUCCUUCCCUAAAAUGACAUUUAAAAAACCAGAACCACUCAAAUGGAGGUAAUAAAUCAGCAACCUAACAGGAGAAGAAAAUGCAGCAAAACAGCAGUCAUUAAAACAAAUUCAUACUUGACACCUGGGGAAAUAAUAGGCCUUAAAUGCAGAAGAGGAUUCUACAGCUGGGGAGCCAUCAGUUUGAAGACCUAUCUCAAUAUAACCUAUCAUACUGUGAUGGCAGAGGACCUUCUGAAAUGGCUUUCCUGGUGUGCAUCUGCUAAGGGAUUAAAGUUUGCCAAAGAAGAACUUUCCACAAUCUCAGAACUGGGAUUGCCCAUCAUGGGGAUGAGGAUAUACAGAGAUUUCCUAGCUGAAACACCUUUGUUAUGAAGUGACUGCCAUUCGGAAGCUUCUGCUAACUUUAAGCUCAAUGAGGUCCAACUUGAAUCUUCUUGGCAUUUCAUUAGUAGUAAUAUUAUUUGGAACAAGUCCACGUGGGUUUAUAAUGGAUCAUUACCAAAAUCUCAAAGGAAGUGAAAGAGAGAAGUAAAAUAAAAUUAAAAAACCCUGGAAAAUCUCUGGAGAUCUUAAUAAACUACGAGAUUCUAAUAAACAAGAAAACAUAUGGAUUCAACUCUCUUUGGAGGAAUGAGCUUUUGUUUAAUUGGAACAAAAAUGGGAUUUGUACUAAGCUUGGAUAUACUGUAAGGGAAUACCAAAUGAAAACACUAAAAAUAAAUUAAAAGCUUUAACGUCG
This is a long non-coding RNA of Pantherophis guttatus, 862 nucleotides long. RefSeq lists it as uncharacterized. The record is from RefSeq and is a predicted model, not a curated record. NCBI's taxonomy places the organism in Eukaryota, Metazoa, Chordata, Lepidosauria, Squamata, Colubridae.